Juglans regia (Persian walnut) is the source of this 2164-nucleotide RNA transcript. It is a transcript of the gene named allantoinase, with no coding region annotated. NCBI's taxonomy places the organism in Eukaryota, Viridiplantae, Streptophyta, Magnoliopsida, Fagales, Juglandaceae. The record is from RefSeq and is a predicted model, not a curated record. The transcript has 16 exons.
UUUAAGACGAUUAUUGCACUGCAAAAUCUGAGUAUCUAGUCGUAUCCCCAUCACGUCGAAAAAACAAAUGGGUUCUGAUAUCAUCAACCGGCUGUGAGGAGCCGAGGGAGUGCUGUGACAUGGAUUUUUUCCCCGGCGGGUUACACAAGUAGUCAUAGUCAACUUUUACAAGUUCGUGAACCUCGAUGAGUUCCUCCUUCAAUUGGCUCGUUUUGUCUCCUUGAACUGGGUGUGCGUUUGCGACUGUGUGCGCGCUCGUGUGGUAGCAGAGAAAAUGGAGUAUAUGCUACUAUGGAGGAUGUUACCUCUGCUGACACUGGGCGCAUCUUUUUUGUUCCUGUUCUACUUCCAGAACUACUCUUCCAAGCAGUUGCCUCACAAGGAUUGCAGCCUUCUUCCUUACCAGCGGUAUUGGAUAGCCAGCAAGCGUAUUGUGACACCACAAGGGGUCAUUUCUGGUGCAGUUGAAAUAAAGGAAGGGAAGAUUGUAUCCAUUGUUAAAGAAGAGGAUAGACAUUGGAAUUCCAAGGAGGGACAUGUAGUUGAUUAUGGAGAGGCUGUUGUCAUGCCUGGCCUGAUUGACGUGCAUGCACAUCUUGAUGAUCCUGGAAGAGCUGAUUGGGAAGGAUUUCCAUCAGGGACUAAAGCAGCUGCUGCAGGCGGUAUAACAACAUUGGUUGACAUGCCUCUGAAUAACUUUCCUUCAACCGUGUCUCAAGAGACUUUGAAACUCAAGAUUGAAGCAGCAGAGGAGAGGAUUUAUGUUGAUGUUGGUUUCUGGGGAGGUUUAGUUCCUGAAAAUGCAUUCAACUCAAGUGCUCUUGAGGGUCUCCUAAAUGCAGGUGCUCUUGGUUUGAAGUCCUUCAUGUGUCCUUCAGGGAUCAAUGAUUUUCCCAUGACAAACAUCAGUCAUAUUAAGGAGGGACUGUCUGUACUGGCAAAAUACAGAAGACCAUUACUUGUACAUGCAGAGCUUCAACAAGAUUCUGAAAGCCACUUGGGUAUUAAGGAGGGUAGUGAUGAUCCUCGUUUGUACUCAACUUAUCUGAAGACUAGGCCACCUUCAUGGGAGGAGGCAGCUAUUAAGGAGCUUGUAACUGUCACAAAGGACACAAGGAAUGGUGGCCCCGCAGAAGGAGCUCAUCUUCACAUUGUUCACUUGUCUGAUUCGAGUUCUUCCUUAGAUCUUAUUAAGGAAGCAAAAGGUGGUGGUGACAGCAUAACCGUGGAGACAUGCCCCCAUUAUUUGGCUUUCUCAGCAGAAGAGAUUCGGGAUGGAGAUACUCGUUUUAAGUGUUCUCCACCCAUUCGUGAUUCAGCCAAUAAAGAAAAACUAUGGGAAGCUUUGUUGGAAGGACAUAUUGAUGUGUUAAGUUCUGAUCAUUCUCCGACACUGCCAGAACUCAAGCUGCUUGAUGAUGGCAACUUUUUGAAGGCCUGGGGUGGCAUAUCGUCUUUGCAGUUCAUUCUUCCUGUGACGUGGUCAUAUGGGCAGAAAUAUGGGGUAACUUUGGAACAAUUGGCUCUAUGGUGGAGUGAGCGGCCUGCCAAAUUUGCCGGACUAGAACUAAAGGGUGCGAUUGCUGUGGGAAACCAUGCAGAUAUUGCCAUAUGGGAACCAGAAGUGGAGUUUGACCUCAAUGAUGGCUAUACUGUAUACCUUAAGCAUCCUAGUAUCUCUGCCUACAUGGGAUCAAAACUAUCUGGAAGAACGCUGGCAACUUUUGUAAGGGGGAACCUUGUCUACAAAAAGGAGGAGCAUGCUCCUGCUGCCUGUGGUGUUCCCAUCCUUGCAAGAUGAAAAACUUAAUUUACCAGUUGCUCUUGUAUGUAACUGAUUCUAAAUCUCAAUGCCUAGUUUCAGUCGAUCGAGGGUGGACCAGUUACUGUUGGGUGGGGGGCAAUGCCACUGGCGGUCCAAACAACGGAGUCUUCAUCGACCAGAAAAUUUUAUUACAAACACGGGAGUCUCAUCGGAAUGUAUCUAAAUUUUUAGUGAAACGAAGUUACCUCUAAUAUGCGAUCAGUGAAAGAAGAAUAUUAAGAUCUUGAAGACAAAGAUGUAGCAACUUGCAUGAACAAAACAAAAUUGUCGCAUCUAAGAAACAAGUGUUUGGUCUCGCAUUAAAAAAUAAUAAUCAUUAUAUAUAAUGACUGAAUUCGG